AAUUACGUUAAAUGUGUAUAUAGUUUCUAUUUAAGAGUAUAAAUUGAAAUAAAUUCUUGAAUUAAUACAAUUGCUUAAUCGAAAUUAAUUAUCAGAAAAACGCUUUGACGUUUUUCUCUUUUUAAGCAAAAUUAUUUUUGAAUAUUUGUAUUUAGUAAAUAGUUGAAUUAUUUUUAUUACAAAAUUGAAGUUUAAAUUCAUAGACGAAAAGCAUUUGGAUUAGAUUGAAACAUAACCUGACUUUGCUUGUGACUGUCCACGUUAGAAGUAAAUUUGUGUAUGUCGACUGGUUUGUGUCUCGGCUAUAACCAUACCAUAAUAAGACGUAGUGAGUGCAGCAAUGGCUCCUGAAUAUAUGUGUCUCAUUAUCACCAUCUUGACGAACCUAGACAAGCGCCAAUUUCUUAUAUCGCCAUUUGAAUUUGUCAUUGGCGCAAUUGCAGAAGAUAAUAGGGGGAUUGUUAGAGUUAGGUUUCAUGAUAGGAAGACGACUUAAGCUCGAUCACUUCGCUCGCAUAUCGGCUGGAGGAUAGCAGUUAUCGCGUUCAGUACAAAUUUAUUAGUUGAGUUUCUUUAGUUGAGUUAUAUUGAAUUGUGCUUUAGUUCAAAUUUUAUAAAGGUAAUUUAGGAAAAAGUGAAAAAUUGUGCAGUGUUCCUAAACGGUGAUUUUUUUGAUUUUUUGUGUUUUUAUAGCUUGAGACGUAGUCUCUGCUUUUCUUACGCGAACGCUAUCAGUGAUUUCGCAGUUUAUCGUACAAAAAAGCGCAUGGGCGCUUUUUUGGUACGGGCUGGAGUUUAAAGAUUUCGACAAGCGGAGUCGUUUUUCGGGGUAAUCGUGAAACCGUCCAAGCCACCGUCUUCAAGUGAAGGAGCUCGUGCAUCCGCUAAGGCCCGCCUCACAAAGGCAGUCAAACGGGGGAAGUGUAGAUCGCCUGCAAGUCGAGCGAUAAUCUCCAACGGUCGCCAAUCAACCGUUGUGUACGAUCCACCCACCGUUACAACCCCUGUGGAUCGGGAGUUAAGGAGAGCUCGGAUUGGGUUCACGUCGCCAAAAGCGUGUCCCUUUCCGCACAGUCCGAAGGUCGGCGCUAUUCCUCGCUCGGUCAUAACGGAAAGGUACGUGAAGCCGGGUCGUUGGGUCUAGUGUCGGUCCGGAAGACAGUCCCGGGAACCCCGCGACCAAUUGUCGACGGGAAGCUCUCCUCUGAAGAAAAUCGGAAGGCCUCCGUCCAGCCGCCACUUCCCACCGCAGCUUUAGAUCGGCCAUAUUAGCACGAGCUCAAGUUCGCUUCUCGCCGCCAUCGUGCGAGGAUCGCUGCUGGCAGAUCGCUAGCAAGGUUUCAUCUUCAACCAACAUUUUGCCGGCACCCCGCCGGAAAGCCAACGUAGCCAUCACCGUAGCAUCCGUCACUUCGAGUCAACGACACCGAAAAUCCUGCGCAGGUAUGUGGUAGUUCUAGUUCAUGGCCAUGAAUAGUUGUUUCCUUUCCCGCUACCAGAAAAAGUUCCGUCCAACCCGAAUGUAUUAAUUCAAUAAAACUGAUUAUUAAGUUGAA
This is a long non-coding RNA of Aedes albopictus (Asian tiger mosquito), 1556 nucleotides long. RefSeq lists it as uncharacterized. The transcript is spliced from 2 exons. The record is from RefSeq and is a predicted model, not a curated record. Lineage: Eukaryota; Metazoa; Arthropoda; Insecta; Diptera; Culicidae.